Molecule: unclassified non-coding RNA, 432 nt
Filed under: Hevea brasiliensis (rubber tree)
Lineage: Eukaryota; Viridiplantae; Streptophyta; Magnoliopsida; Malpighiales; Euphorbiaceae
Source: RNAcentral
CAAUGUAAACAGAGAGAGAUUGACAUGUCAACCUUAGAAGGUCCAAGCUAAAUAGUACUAAAUCUAUUCUGGCAGAAUCAAGUCAACAGGCAAAAAUAGUACUGAUACACCUACAAAUCCUAAACCCCUAGCAGGGACGCAAAAUCUUAACUACAUGAAGGUCUAACAAUUUAAUAAAAUUAAAACCACAUUUAUAUAUGCAUGCCAAAGUAAAUUGGAAGCAAUUGUUCUUCAAUUUCAGUGGGGAUUUCUCUAAGAUUGCCAUUGGAAAGAAAAUUUAAUUUAAAAUUGAAUGAAAAUUUGGAGUUGUAAACGUGAGAAAAUAAAUAUCAUUCAACUAAAUCUUAAAUGACUAUUAUGCGUUUCUAGGCAUUUCAAAUUCAUUGGCAAUAAGCCUAAUCUGGCUUGGUCCAGUGGCUUAAGACCUAAGCU